AUUGAACGCUGGCGGCAGGCCUAACACAUGCAAGUCGAAUGGUAACAGGAAACAGCUUGCUGUUUCGCUGACGAGUGGCGGACGGGUGAGUAAUGUCUGGGAAACUGCCUGAUGGCGGGGGAUAACUACUGGAAACGGUAGCUAAUACCGCAUAACGUCGCAAGACCAAAGAGGGGGACCUUCGGGCCUCUUUCCAUCAGAUGUGCCCAGAUGGGAUUAGCUAGUAGGUGGGGUAACGGCUCACCUAGGCGACGAUCCCUAGCUGGUCUGAGAGGAUGACCAGCCACACUGGAACUGAGACACGGUCCAGACUCCUACGGGAGGCAGCAGUGGGGAAUAUUGCACAAUGGGCGCAAGCCUGAUGCAGCCAUGCCGCGUGUAUGAAGAAGGCCUUCGGGUUGUAAAGUACUUUCAGCGGGGAGGAAGGGAGUAAAGUUAAUACCUUUGCUCAUUGACGUUACCCGAAGAAGAAGCAACGGCUAACUCCGUG
This 490-nucleotide ribosomal RNA is filed under the name uncultured bacterium. RNAcentral describes it as "partial 16S ribosomal RNA". It matches the Rfam family "Bacterial small subunit ribosomal RNA", at positions 30 to 507 of the family's 1533-position model. The record is from RNAcentral.